RNAcentral lists this long non-coding RNA (466 nucleotides) under Cyanistes caeruleus (blue tit). RNAcentral describes it as "lncRNA (ENSCCEG00000019840.1)". Lineage: Eukaryota; Metazoa; Chordata; Aves; Passeriformes; Paridae. The record is from RNAcentral.
CCAGCACUGAACAUGACGAGAUAUCGAAGAGACAGAGCUCAAGCUGGGUCAGACUGAGCUGUGCCUGGCACCAGCUUUUUGGCUCUUGCUGGGACAGAGGUGAUGAGCAGAGUCCCCCUGUGGGUCUAGAGUAAUCUCUGAAGGAAAAUCUCAGCCAACACAACUGCAAACCCUCCAGCAGCUGAAUUGAUGUGUUGGAACUUGAAGUGUCCUGCAGCUAAAGGGAGAGGAGCAUCAAAGGUCGUGUCUCAGUGGUUUUGAGAGAGUGUCUAUUCCAACACAGGAGGUCUACAACAAGCCCACAACUGCCUGUUAUUCGAAGCCAGUGGAAUUAAAGCAGAAAAGGGUUUGUCUGUUCAUGGUUUAGAAGCAAGAAUGGACCCAAUGUGAAAGCUCUUCCCUUUGAUUUGGAGUGAAAGACAUCCAGUGAUUUUCAUGCUAGUCUGAGAAAUAAUGUGAAGUCCUG